This is a long non-coding RNA of Alligator mississippiensis (American alligator), 1582 nucleotides long. RefSeq lists it as uncharacterized. The transcript has 2 exons. Lineage: Eukaryota; Metazoa; Chordata; Crocodylia; Alligatoridae. The record is from RefSeq and is a predicted model, not a curated record.
CCCCGCAGCGCCCCCUGCAGCCCAGCGCCGCCGGGCCCCGGGGCAGGCCGUGCUGCGAAGGCAUCCGGCUUCGUGUCAAUAAAGGACAGAGGACAACCGGACUGUCCUCUAUGAUGGCCACCCUACGAAGGAGGCUUCUCCAGGCUGGACGACCCCUCCUCCAGCAGCACUCUGCUGCCACUAGCACAAAGCCCGGCUUGGUAGUGCCUUUGCCAUAUUCGGAUUUGUUCAGCUGUCGGGAAGCCACAUCCUGCCAGCCCUUUUGCUUUCAUGCCAUUGUCUCUGCCUUUUCACUUAGUGCAUUGUUGAGGCCUCCCUUUAUCGGGCACCAAAUCAGGCUCACACGAGCUCACGUUGUACCGCGCUCAGCCAAGCCCCCGCACCUCGUGGAGGAAUUGCUUCGUGCCACUGGCAUGUACUGGAAGGUGCCCAACGUGCUGGUUGAGGCAAAGCUAACGGGGACUUCCAGCAGAGGACGCUUCCUCAGAGCAACGCUCUACGGGCACCAUCUGGGACUCCAGCUGUGGGGCUUCCUCACAGUGGCGACCUCUGUAUAUGUCCUAGAGUUCAGGCCACCCACUCACCGUCACAACAGACAAGGCACAAGCUGAGCUCCAAGCUGGCCCAUUCACUGUACAUGCCAGCUUGGCUUCAGCUGCCUGGCCCUGAUGUGCUUUAUCAAUGCCUCCUUGCCUAGCAGGCAGGCACAGCCAUCACUUGCAGACCCAGCCCAUAUUUUGAUUGGUGCAGCCUCUGGGCAACUGGCACCUUGGGAUGUUCCUAAGCACCUUAGUAAAUGCCUGAAAGGGGAAAUAGCCCUGGUGGGAUGCAAGCUGGCAUCACAGGGUGCAGGCACUUUAGAAAGAAACCAACCAAGUUCAGAAAGUAUGUGGUGGGCUAGGGAUGUUUCAGGUCCUGGUAAAAAGGCCACCACCUGCCUGGGUCCCACUGCUGGCAACUUUACUGCUCUUUGAGGUAGAGCAAGGCAGGGACAGAGGCCUCAGCAUUUGCACAGGAAAGGGAGGAGUCGUGUGUGGGGUUGGAGAUAGGGGAGAAGGCUGAUGCUGAUAGUCAGUCAGCACUUAAAUGGUGUUAAAGUUCUGUACAUACAUUAAUUCCUACAAACCUUACAUUACAGGGAAAGAGGGGAAGCAGCUGCUUCAAGGUCAUGCGUGUAGUCUCACUGCCAGAGCCAGGAUUAGAGCUCAGGGUGUCCAUCUUGCACUGUCAGGGGUCUGCACAGGCUGAGACUCUCCACCCUCCCACCCUGGCCUGUCAGCUCAGGAAAUAAAGCAGCGCCACUUAUGUUCCCUCCCUCGUGCUGGCAGGAAGCUGCUACCCAGCCUCAAAAAGAAAAGGCAGCACCUCCCUUCCCCUGCUAUUGUUUGCUGCCCUGGAUGUAGCAUCUUGCAUUAAACUGGACUGUCACCUCUCCUUGGCAGGGCUGGGUUUGUGUGCUGUCUGGCUUAGCCAUGCUCCAUUCUGGGAAGGGCCUCUGGGAGCCAUCACUAUACAGACAAUGAAGUCAGAACAAGGGGAAAUGAGGCCAGAGCUGUGCUAGAUCCUCUUCUGGGUCCCAGAC